GAUGAACGCUGGCGGCGUGCCUAAUACAUGCAAGUCGAGCGAACGGACGAGAAGCUUGCUCCCCUGAUGUUAGCGGCGGACGGGUGAGUAACACGUGGACAACAUACCUAUAAGACUGGGAUAACUUCGGGAAAUCGGAGCUAAUACCGGAUAAUAUUUCGAACCGCAAGGUUCAAAAGUGAAAGUCGGUCUUGCUGUCACUUAUAGAUGGAUCCGCGCUUCAUCAGCUAGUUGGUAAGGUAACGGCUUACCAAGGCAACGAUGGAUAGCCGACCUCAGAGGGUGGACGGCUAGCUGGGAAGAGAGGCACAGUCCCGACUCCGACGGUGAGACGCAGUAGGGAAUCUUACGCGAGGGGGGAGUGCCGAACGGUGGAACGUCGGGGGAGGGAUGAAGGACUUAGGAUCGGUGAACUCUGUAGGUCGGGGGGAUGAUAUGUGUUUGUAACUGUGAAGAUCAUGACGGUACCGGAUGAGAAAGCCACGGCUAACUACGUG
RNAcentral lists this ribosomal RNA (497 nucleotides) under uncultured bacterium. RNAcentral describes it as "partial 16S ribosomal RNA". It matches the Rfam family "Bacterial small subunit ribosomal RNA", at positions 28 to 507 of the family's 1533-position model. The record is from RNAcentral.